RNAcentral lists this ribosomal RNA (468 nucleotides) under uncultured bacterium. RNAcentral's name for it is "partial 16S ribosomal RNA". It matches the Rfam family "Bacterial small subunit ribosomal RNA", at positions 28 to 507 of the family's 1533-position model. The record is from RNAcentral.
GACGAACGCUGGCGGCGUGCUUAACACAUGCAAGUCGAACGGAAGGGCCCUGCUUUUGUGGGGUUCUCGAGUGGCGAACGGGGGAGUAACACGUGAGUAACCUGCCCUUGACUUUGGGAUAACUUCAGGAAACUGGGGCUAAUACCGGAUAGGAGCUCCUGCUGCAUGGUGGGGGUUGGAAAGUUUCGGCGGUUGGGGAUGGACUGGCGGCUUAUCAGCUUGUUGGUGGGGUAGUGGCUUACCAAGGCUUUGACGGGUAGCCGGCCUGAGAGGGUGACCGGCCACAUUGGGACUGAGAUACGGACCAGACUCCUACGGGAGGCAGCAGUGGGGAAUAUUGCACAAUGGGCGGAAGCCUGAUGCAGCAACGCCGCGUGCGGGAUGACGGCCUUCGGGUUGUAAACCGCUUUCGCCUGUGACGAAGCGUGAGUGACGGUAAUGGGUAAAGAAGCACCGGCUAACUACGUG